Molecule: ribosomal RNA, 433 nt
Filed under: uncultured bacterium
Lineage: Bacteria
Description: partial 16S ribosomal RNA
Rfam family: Bacterial small subunit ribosomal RNA
Source: RNAcentral
AACGAACGCUGGCGGCAUGCCUAACACAUGCAAGUCGAACGAUACCUUCGGGUCUAGUGGCGCACGGGUGCGUAACGCGUGGGAAUCUGCCCUUAGGUUCGGAAUAACUCCCCGAAAGGGGUGCUAAUACCGGCUAAUGUCUUCGGACCAAAGAUUUAUCGCCUUUGGAUGUGCCCGCGUUGGAUUAGCUAGUUGGCAGGGUAAAAGCCUACCAAGGCGACGAUCCAUAGCUGGUCUGAGAGGAUGAUCAGCCACCCUAGGACUGAGACAUGGCCCAGAAUCCUACGGGAGGCGGCAGUGGGGAAUAUUAGACUAUGGGCGAAAGGCUGAUGCAGCGAUGCCGCGUGAGUGAUGAAGGCCUUAGGGUUGUAAAGCUCUUUUACCCGGGAUGAUAAUGACAGUACCGGGAGAAUAGGCUCCGGCUAACUCCGUG